AGGGGAGUGGCGGAACUGGAAGACGUGCGGGAUUUAGAAUCCCGUGUCACAGGCGUACGGGUUCGAUUCCCGUCUCCCCUACCA
RNAcentral lists this transfer RNA (84 nucleotides) under Desulfococcaceae bacterium HSG7. Its description in RNAcentral is "tRNA-Leu". It matches the Rfam family "tRNA". Rfam says of the family: Transfer RNA (tRNA) molecules are approximately 80 nucleotides in length. Their secondary structure includes four short double-helical elements and three loops (D, anti-codon, and T loops). Further hydrogen bonds mediate the characteristic L-shaped molecular structure. tRNAs have two regions of fundamental functional importance: the anti-codon, which is responsible for specific mRNA codon recognition, and the 3' end, to which the tRNAs corresponding amino acid is attached (by aminoacyl-tRNA synthetases). tRNAs cope with the degeneracy of the genetic code in two manners: having more than one tRNA (with a specific anti-codon) for a particular amino acid; and 'wobble' base-pairing, i.e. permitting non-standard base-pairing at the 3rd anti-codon position. The record is from RNAcentral. Lineage: Bacteria; Pseudomonadati; Thermodesulfobacteriota; Desulfobacteria; Desulfobacterales; Desulfococcaceae.